CGUAGGCGGCCGAUUAAGUCGGGGGUGAAAGCCUGUGGCUCAACCACAGAAUUGCCUUCGAUACUGGUUGGCUUGAGACCGGAAGAGGACAGCGGAACUGCGAGUGUAGAGGUGAAAUUCGUAGAUAUUCGCAAGAACACCAGUGGCGAAGGCGGCUGUCUGGUCCGGUUCUGACGCUGAGGCGCGAAAGCGUGGGGAGCAAACA
This 205-nucleotide ribosomal RNA is filed under the name uncultured bacterium. RNAcentral's name for it is "partial 16S ribosomal RNA". It matches the Rfam family "Bacterial small subunit ribosomal RNA", at positions 570 to 774 of the family's 1533-position model. The record is from RNAcentral.